GUUGAAGAACGUAGCGAAAUGCGAUACUUGGUGUGAAUUGCAGAAUCCCGUGAACCAUCGAGUCUUUGAACGCAAGUUGCGCCCGAAGCCAUUAGGCCGAGGGCACGCCUGCCUGGGCGUCACACGUCGUUGCCCCCCCAUCUACUCCUUCGGGAUUGCGGGGGGCGGAUGAUGGCCUCCCGUGCGCCUCGUCGCGCGGUUGGCAUAAAUGCCAAGUCCUCGGCGACGCACGCCACGACAAUCGGUGGUUGCGAAACCUCGGUUGCCCGUCGUGUGCGGUCGUCGCGCAUCGAGGGCUCGAAAAAAUUGCCGGGCUCCGGCUCGGCUUUCAACGCGACCCCAGGUCAGGCGGGGUUACCCGCUGAAUUUAAGCAUAUCAAUAAGCGGAGGA
Molecule: unclassified non-coding RNA, 391 nt
Filed under: soil metagenome
Description: partial contains 5.8S ribosomal RNA, internal transcribed spacer 2, and large subunit ribosomal RNA
Rfam family: 5.8S ribosomal RNA (bases 1-122)
Source: RNAcentral